Molecule: ribosomal RNA, 500 nt
Filed under: uncultured bacterium
Lineage: Bacteria
Description: partial 16S ribosomal RNA
Rfam family: Bacterial small subunit ribosomal RNA
Source: RNAcentral
AUUGAACGCUGGCGGAAUGCUUUACACAUGCAAGUCGAACGGCAGCACGGACUUCGGUCUGGUGGCGAGUGGCGAACGGGUGAGUAAUGUAUCGGAACGUGCCCAGUCGUGGGGGAUAACGUAGUGAAAAUUACGCUAAUACCGCAUACGAUCUAUGGAUGAAAGCGGGGGAUCGCAAGACCUCGCGCGAUUUGAUCGGCCUAUAUCAGAUUAGGUAGUUGGUGGGGUAAAGGCCCACCAAGCCAACGAUCUGUAGCUGGUCUGAGAGGACGACCAGCCACACUGGAACUGAGACACGGUCCAGACUCCUACGGGAGGCAGCAGUGGGGAAUUUUGGACAAUGGGCGAAAGCCUGAUCCAGCCAUUCCGCGUGCAGGAUGAAGGCCCUCGGGUUGUAAACUGCUUUUGUACAGAACGAAAAGGUUUCUACUAAUACUAGGAGCUCAUGACGGUACUGUAAGAAUAAGCACCGGCUAACUACGUGCCAGCCGCCGCCGUAA